AUGGAUGGCAUCCUUGUACUUUUCUUCCUUGAAAUAGGAGUUGCCAAUUCGAGCAUAAGCUUUGGCAAUCUGUCGAUAGUCUUCUCGGUUUUCUCGCCCCACUUCGAUGGCCUUCUCACAAAGCUCCCGGCAUUUACUGUAGUCACCCUUCUCGAAGUACACGGCUGCUUGAUUGGUCAUGUAAGUCAUGUUGGUGGGGUCCAGGUCCUUGGUUCGGUCAUAGUGCUUCAAGGCUGUGUCAAAGUCUUUCUUCUUGUAGGCUUCGUUCCCCAGCUCUUUCUCUUUCAGCGCCUGCUUCUUAUUCUCUGGAAGAUCUUCUUCCAUUGGCUCUGGCUUGGUGUCCUUCUUGGGAGGAGGAGGUGGGGGAGGUGUUCCAACUUCCUCCUCCUCAUCCAUACUGCCCAGAUCCACACCCAGCAGGACGCUCAGAGUAGUCAUGAUCCGGGGAUCUUGCAGUUGCUCUAUCAGCUCCCGGUAGGCAGGAUCAGCGAGCAGUGUCCUUGUCCUGGGAUCACUCUCCAAUUUCUGGUACAGAUUGGGCAUGUUGAAAGGGUUCAUGAAUUUCCGUUCUGCCAACCGAGCCUCCAUAUUCUGUAAGCCCUCUUUGAGCUGAGGAUUAUUUGCUUCAUGUUUUAAACCCUCUUCGUAGGUUCGCUUGGCUUCUUCAAAUCGGUUUAAGAACUCAAGGGCUGCAGCCUUCCUCGAAUAGCCCUUGCCCCAGUCGGGCUUUAAGUCCACGGUUUUGCAGCCAUCCUCAUAAGCCUUCUGGUAGUCCCCUUUCUUGGCGUAGGCUGCGGAGCGAUUGCUAUAGAGCACAUGGUUCUGGGGAUCUAACUUAAUGGCCUCAGAGUAGCACUGCAGUGCGUCAUCAAUGUUGCCCGCACUCAGGGCCUUAUUGCCCUUCUCUUUCAGCUCAUUUACCUGCUCCAUAGCCCAGCCCGGAACCCCGUUGAAUCGACUCCGUCCACUCCGCGUUCCCAACCGCCCAGAUCUCUUCUCAGAGCCUCCAGAAGGAAGCAGCGCUGCUGACACCUUGACUUUAGCCCAAGAAAAUUAAUUUGGGACUUCUGAAGUCCAGAACUGUAAGAGAAUACAUUUUUGUAAUUUUAAGCCACCACGUUUGCAGUAC
Molecule: long non-coding RNA, 1129 nt
Filed under: Canis lupus familiaris (dog)
Lineage: Eukaryota; Metazoa; Chordata; Mammalia; Carnivora; Canidae
Description: lncRNA (ENSCAFG00845025799.1)
Source: RNAcentral